RNAcentral lists this unclassified non-coding RNA (354 nucleotides) under soil metagenome. Its description in RNAcentral is "partial contains 5.8S ribosomal RNA, internal transcribed spacer 2, and large subunit ribosomal RNA". The stretch from base 1 to 120 matches the Rfam family "5.8S ribosomal RNA", at positions 35 to 154 of the family's 154-position model. The record is from RNAcentral.
GAUGAAGAACGUAGCGAAAUGCGAUAAGUAAUGUGAAUUGCAGAAUUCAGUGAAUCAUCGAAUCUUUGAACGCACAUUGCGCCCGCCAGUAUUCUGGCGGGCAUGCCUGUUCGAGCGUCAUUACAACCCUCAGGCCCCCGGGCCUGGCGUUGGGGAUCGGCGGAAGCCCCCUGCGGGCACAACGCCGUCCCCCAAAUACAGUGGCGGUCCCGCCGCAGCUUCCAUUGCGUAGUAGCUAACACCUCGCAACUGGAGAGCGGCGCGGCCACGCCGUAAAACACCCAACUUUCUGAACGUUGACCUCGGAUCAGGUAGGAAUACCCGCUGAACUUAAGCAUAUCAAUAAGCGGAGGA